This 73-nucleotide transfer RNA is filed under the name Neotoma lepida (desert woodrat). It matches the Rfam family "tRNA". From Rfam's summary of the family: Transfer RNA (tRNA) molecules are approximately 80 nucleotides in length. Their secondary structure includes four short double-helical elements and three loops (D, anti-codon, and T loops). The record is from Rfam by way of RNAcentral. Lineage: Eukaryota; Metazoa; Chordata; Mammalia; Rodentia; Cricetidae.
GGAGAAAUGGCUCAGUGGUCCAGAGCACUGGCUGCUCUUCCAGAGGACCUGGGUUCAACUCCCAGUACCCACA